This 8013-nucleotide long non-coding RNA is filed under the name Homo sapiens (human). RNAcentral's name for it is "HSALNT0074983". The record is from RNAcentral. Lineage: Eukaryota; Metazoa; Chordata; Mammalia; Primates; Hominidae.
CAAUUUUUUGUUACAGGAAAAAAUAGUUUAUUAUAAAUUCAAUGCAUAGCAUUUUCUGGUUUAGACCUUUCCAUUAUUGUUCUGACAGAACAAAGACUAUGAGGUUGUCAGAAAUAAAUUGUUCAUUUUGUUUCCUAAAUAUGUGGCAAAGACAUUGUAUGUUUUUUGUUUGUUUGCUUGUUUGUUUGUUUUAGAAUAGUUUGAAAUGUCUUCAAACCUUUUGACCAACCAAGAAAGCUUUUGCCUGGGCACAGGCUUUAUCUUUCUUAGCAUUACACUAGAGAUACUAAUCCCUCCCAACAAUUUCAUUAUGAUUAUCGCAAUAAAAUAUAACGAUCCAUUAAGUCCAUGGGGCAGAUGUUUAUUUAUUUAUAACCAUGCCUUAUUCCACAGAGAAUUUAAAGAGGAAUAAAAGAUUAUUUCCUCAUUGCAUCAAAUGAAUAUCUUUUAUUUUGUCUAAUGUUGUAUUUCUUUUUCUUUAAUUGGCACUAAAUGUUUAUUUGCAUUCUUUUAAUUACUUUUAAGGCAUCCAUUAUUUCUGGAUUACAUUACUGAACUCUCAAUAAAUCAAUACAUAGUUCUGUAUAUAAUUUUUUCAACAUUUUUUCCUUCUUUAAUUUGGUUCAUUUGUAUCUCCCUUUGCUGUUUAUUGAGUAGAAAUUCUGAUUUUUGUAGCAAAGGGAGAACAAACAAACAACACACAGAAUAUUCUGUAUUUAAUGCUGCAAUUGUCUCUAUGGUUGCAAUGUGUAGGUGGGGUGCAUUCAAGUGGGCUUGUGGUAUUUGUGUGUGUGUGUGUGUGUAUGUGUGUGUGUGUGUUGGAAGAAUAUAUAUUGAGGAUGAUUCCUAAUUUUAUCACUUUGUUGAGGAACUGAAAUUGUGGCUACACAUUCACUCUAAAUAUUUUGUCUCACAGUCCCCUCCCUUCAACAAUUAUAUACAGUACACUAUUUGUUGGAAGCUCAGGAGAAAAAGGGCAUUUAAGAGCAUGAGAUUUGGUGGCAGACUGACCUAAUAGUAGAUGGUACCAGUGAGAUCUUGAGCAACGUAAAUGUUUCAACUGAAAAACGGUAACAAUAAAACAUUUUUCAGAGUGAUGUUGUACUAAAUGAAAUGAUAUACAUAAAGUAGCCUAUAAUGACCCAUGCACAGUCAUAAUAUCAAAUAUUUACUGAGCAUCUACUAUGUGCUAGAUUAUUUUAAGCACUUUUGAAAAUAUAAGUAUUUUGAUAAAUGUAUAUCAUAUAUUGUCUUAAUAAGAUUAUAUUGUUGUUAUAUUUCAUCUUAUUGCUAAUUUUAUUUUUUUAAGAAAACCUUUUUUUGGAAAGAAUCGAAACUAAAAACCCAACUAUUUAAAAAAUGGAAACUUUUGGCCGGGAACGGAGGCUCACACCUAUAAUCUCAGCACUUUGGGAGGCCGAAUGGGCGGAUCACAAGGUCAAGAGAUUGAGACCAUCCUGGCCAACGUGGUGAAACUCCGUCUCUACUAAAAAUACAAAAGUUAGCUGGGCAUGGUGGCACAUGCCUGUAGUCCCAGCUACUCGGGAGGCUGAGGCAGAAGAAUCGCUGGAACCCAGGAGGCGGAGGUUGCAGUGAGCCGAGACAGCACCACUGCACUCCAGACUGGCGACAGAGUGAGACUCCAUCUAAAAAAAAAAAAAAGGAACCUUUUGCCUUACUUCGUUUGCUAGCUACAUUCAAGUCUGCAAUUAAGCUCGGUGUUUUGCCUUUCUCAAACUGUGCACAGGUCCUCUUGUUUGUUCCCCUUCUCUCUGUUGCCUAGGAAUACAGCCAAAAACUUGAGUAAUAGAUGAUAGAUGGGUCUGUCACUAAGCACAUCCUAGUGACAUAGAUAAGAAGCAAAUGCUACAAAAUUAUAGGUGCAAACUACAAGUUGUGUUUUAAUUGGUUUUAACAAGUACUUAUAAGCAGAAGAACUGUGAAAAAUCUAACAUUUUGUCCUACUUGCAAGCCUGCCAGUCUUUUGAGUGCUGGGCAAAGACACAAUAGUGCUGGGUCAGAGACAAUUAACUUUACUACUCACAUUAAUAGCAUUAGCAAGAGUAUCAUGAUUUUCUUGCACUGAUUCCUCAAGCCGCAAUUCCCACAGAAAAGCUCAGGUGACACCUACAUGCUCAGUGGGUUGCAUUAGAAAAGAGGAACGCAGAGCUCAGGAAACAUGGAUAUUUUAUAAUGGCCAGUAAAGAUGUCCCUUUGCUUUAGAAAGAGGCACUACCUCUAUCCAAGGCUGCAAGCACACCUGCCUUUUGUUUUAGAAGGAGAAAUGAUUUCUAUCUUCCAAGGCUGUUCACUAUAUGAAAAGACAGUCCCAAACAAAAGGCAGUUACUGACUUGCUUGAAAAAUGUGCAGAAAUGAUACGCUGCUUGAAUGUGGACAGCUGACACAGGGACAAGGAGUAAAAAUGAUUAGGUUUUGAGCUUGACCAACUAGGAAGAUAAUUAUUAGCAGUAGAGAAAAAAAGAACAAAGUAGAUUUUAGGGCAGAUAAGCCAUUUUUUAGGUAGGUUGAGUCUGAGAUGCCUCCAUAAAUAUAAGUUGAAAAUAUGAGAUUGGAGUUGAGACUUCAGAAAUACAUAUUUUGAGUAGUUACACUACAGAGGUAAGUCAUCAGAGUUCAUAAAAUUAAAGUGAGAAAAAGAGGCAAGUGAAGAAAAACAAGAUGGCAUUGCAUGAAGAACUUUCUUAGGAAGGAAGGCAGCAAAGAGGUAAAAUUGGAGGUGUAGUCAGAGAUGGAAGAUGAAAAAGGAAAAUAACAAUAUUUCAGAAAUGAAAUGAAAAAGGUCUUUUACUAAGUAAUUGGUACUACUACUUGUCAGUUUCAAGUGCUGUAAAAAAAAUGGGAAGAACCACACAUGUGCACUUUCAGUACUAUGUAUUUUAUGCUUCAGGGAUGCAUACCUGUUUAACAAAAGUAUGUUUUUUCUCAAAGUGUGUUGAAUAGUCCAGAAAAAGAUGGAGGUAGAAGUCAGACUUCAGGAGAUAAAGGAACCAGAAAGAUCAUUGAAGGCUGUGAUGGUAGAAAACAUUUUGACAAAGAGUUGUGCAAUGAGAAAGCUAGGGGUGGGACAAUUAAUUUUGAGGGUAACAAUUGGGGAUUUGAGUAGAUUUUUUGCUUCUGUUCUUUAAUUGUUUUGUCUUCUUUUUAAAGAAACCAAGAGACUGUUAAUGUAGUAGGAGCAGAGUUUCACAAUACAGAGCAGAGAGGGUGUUGGUUGAUAAAGAAUUGUCUCAAAUGAGAGGAAAAGAAUGGAGCCAAUAACAGAGAUGAUGUUUAAUUUGGGAAAGGUGGGACAUGUUAACAUGAGUCCAGAGAACUAAAAUGAGCUUAUGGCAUGCAGAUGCUGAAGAUGAAGAAAGGAAAGGAAGGAAAAGGAGGAAUUUAUAUUUAUUUAUUGAAUAAUCUUGUAAAACUGUUAAUCACCCCUUUUUACUGACGAUAAGACAUAAAUGUCAGAGGUGUUUUGCCUAAAGUAAAAAAUUCGAUAGUCAAGCUGGGUUUAAAACCAUAUCAGUCUUACGUCAAAGCAUGUUUUAAUUGCUGUUGUGUGGUUGUGAUUUUAAGGGAAGAAGAAGAGUUUUAUAAUGGGUUCUCUGAAAAAUAAAAUAUCAAUUAGAAAGAAACAAAACAACUGCUGAGAAGCAGUGAAUCCAAGCAGAAUCUGAGUAUCAUCACUUUUUAGUUAAACUAACCAGUCCAAUAUCCUGAUUUUUCUUUAACAGGCAAAGAAUUUUUGAGUCUUUCCCAUAGACUGAGUUCUUGUGAACUAUUUUACAGCAAUAAUGGCAUCCAAUCCUAUAGAUAACAAUAACAAAGCUGCAGACCAUUUUGUUGCCAGGUUUCUCCUCCAGGGUGGCUUUCCAGCUAGUUUGUAAACAAAUAACUCAGGUGGCCCUGUCAUGUUACAUUAACUAAAAACCAAGUCUAAAGCACACAUAUAAUAACAUAUGUGUGUGCAAACUGGCUUGCUUUCAAAUUCCUAAAUCAUACAAUUAAAUUUUAAAAAUAACUGUAUUUGGAAACAAGAAAAAAGUCACUUUGACACCCAACUGAUGUAUAUAAAGGAGACUGUGCAUAUGGGUUUUAAAAUGAGAUGAAAAUUGAAAUUUGAUCUUUGAGAUUAAAAACAAUGUUAUGUAAAUCUAUUUUUAUUUAAUUUUUCUGAAAAAUAUUGUAUUUGCUUUAUACCCUCUUGCUAUACAAACUUAUAUUGUUUUGCUUACCCUCUUUUUUUAUUCCUCCUACUUUUUCUUAAUUUUGAUAUCUCUGAAUUUAAAGUCUAGAGAAUGAUUCAUCUUCACUAGUUCUAUCUUUUCCAGUGCUAGUAUUUUUGUUUUUGAGCUGUGGUUUCCCUAUCCCAUUUUUGAGAUCUCAAACUAUAAUUUGGUGUCGAGUACCCAGGUAUCUUAUCUUUAAAGUGAAGACGUAGGCAGCACAAAGGUGCUUUUAUUAGAACGUCCACUAGAUCAGAAUGACCAGUGCACAAAAUUUAUUUUCCUAGCAGACUCACCAAAUUUAACCUGGAAGAGAAUGUCUGACUCUGUUGAAUUUUCUUAGGCAAAUACAAUAUUUGAAAGUCACUGAAUGUUUCAAACAAAAUAUAACAACAUUCAGAUAACAGAACUGUGUUAUUGUUCUCAUGUGUUUAUGCCCAGAAAAUAAGCAGACUGGAGCUUCUCUAAGAUUAAAAGUCAAAACAGUAUUACAAUUCCAGCCCAGAUUUGACUAUCUAAUCAUUUAAACCUUAGUAUCAUCAUCAUCACCACCGUCACUGCAUACUCAUUAAGUUAAAAAAAAUUCCUUUAAAAUAAAUGGAAAAGAAAAUAUCUGUGUAAAUAGAUUAAAGCGAUUCCUGCUCACCACUCCCUUUCUCCCUGGGGCAGGAGACUUGAGCACAUCAAAGGAACUCAUAGCGUUCUUGGAGUAAGUGUGAAAGCCACCGUGAUGAACUAAAUGAAUGCUUACAUCUAAAGAAAGAUGUAAACAUAUUACAUUAAAAGGUGGCAUGACAUAAUGGUAUAUCACUGAUUAAGAAAUGUGAGGCGACUUUCAUGUGCCACUGAUAAAUCAUUAUAAUUUGACAUAGUAGAUAAUGCCCCUAUAUUUCAUCUGCAUACCUGGAAAAUGAGGACUUUCAAAACAUAUUCCUGCCAGUUACAGUCAGGUAUUGCAAAACAAGCAUUUAGUGAGCAUCUAAACUGAAGCUUAGAACUUCAGUUUUGUGGCGGGGCGCGGUGGCUCACGCCUGUAAUCCCAGCACCUUGGGAGGCCAAGACAGGCGGAUCACUUGAGGUCAGGAGUUUGGGACCAGCCUGGCCCACAUGGUGAAACCCCAUCUCUACUAAAAAUACAAAAAUUAGCCAGGCAUGGUUGCACGCACCUGUAGUCCCAGUUACUCAGGUGGCUGAGGCAGAAGAAUCGCUUGAACCUGGGUGGUGGAGAUUGCAGUGAGCUGAGAUCCUGCCACUGCACUCCAGCCUGGGCAAGAGAGUGAGACUCCAUCUCAAAAAAAUAAAGAACUCCAAUUUUAUUUUCUUCAUGGCAUAGCAUAAUAGAUGAGUUAACAAAUUAAUGAAACAGAUUGACAUGUGUUAAUUGCAAUCAUAUACAGAACAGAAAUCAUUUCCAUAAAAUAUUUAACCUGCCUGUUACUUCCCCUAAAUCUCUCUGUAGCUGAUGCCCCAAUUUCACUAUUAGCUCUUCAGACUUGGAUGUUAAGCACUGUGCCUUCCCCUGGACCUCUCUUUAAAUGUCACAGCUAUUUCUGGCAGGCCAGUCUGCAUGUCCACUAGAAGAAAAGGGACCUGGGUUCUUCAUCAGCCCAUCCUUAGAUCUUAGUGCACAUAUGCACCUAGUAAGUGCCGAGCAAAUAUUCAAUGAAUGACUGUACCUUUCCUAAGAAUUCUUCGUUGAUUAUCCUUCAACAGAGCUAACUUCUCUCCCUAUGUGCUCAGUCAAAUGCUCUCCCAUUGGACUGAGUUCAGCAUAAACUGCCAUGUUUUGAGAUGAUUGGUGUAAGCGAAUGUCCUCUCCUGAGUUGCGAGAAUCUAAGAGCAGGACAACAUCACAUGCUUCUCUACUUUCUAUAGUUCUUUUGUCCACUGUCUAACAAAUAAUGCCAAGUGAAAAAGGGAAAAAUGAAUGAAUAAAUUUUGUAAGAUGCCAAUGGAAAAAAACAGAAAAUCAAGAGUUACUAAAAAAAACCACUAACUCCAUUUAAUUGUUUUAGACUAAGAAUCCCUCAGUGAUACCUAGCCAAAAUUAGGAUUCAGAUCCAAAAUAAAAGAUACUGUUGCCCCAAGUAGAUAUCAUAAUUUGUUACAAUAAGUAAAAAUGUAUAUUAUUCAAUACUAAACUGUUAUACCACAUUUCAAGUUUUUAAAACUUUAUCUUCCUUUUAUGCAUAGAUAGUAGUAGAGCAUUAAGAACAUGCAUGGCUAUCACCUGAGGUGUUGAUUGUAAAUUCACAUUCCUAGGCUUUGUCUCUUAACUACUGAAUCGGAAUCUUUGGGAGUGAACUGACAGGAAUCUGAAUUUUAAAAAUAAGGUCUUCAGGUGAUUCUCAUGCAUCUAAAGAUAACUGCUUUAAUAUAUAACAAAGAAACCCAAAGAGGGACACUUGAGGAUUUUUUCAAUAUAUCUUCUUUUGCAGAGAUUAAUAGUGAAUGUUGUUUUAUCUGCUGUUUAGAAUUUUACAUAUGCAUUGGAUGAUACAUCUUCUUUUACUGACAAAAAGGCUUUUCUCUGGAGAAAAUAAAAAGGCAGCUUUCCCUGAGAGCACACACUUCUAGCAAAGCCCCAAUCCAUAUGACUCUAAGACAGAGUGAUUUCCACCUUCUAGUCCUUACUUUCUUGCAAAAGGGGCUUUCAAAUCUCAUUACUGAUGGUCCCAUCUUUUAUUACUGGUGUUAUCAAUGGGAUGCUUGCAGCAGCUUAAGUAUGUGGAUAAAGAAGGAAUGCACAAUAUACGGUACUGAAUAUUUUUAAAAAGUGGUCUUUCAGAAUGUCUGUAUGUGUGGGGGCCCAUGCUUAGGCAUAUGUGCAUGCCAGUGUGUUAUUUAUGUUGAAACCAAUGUUUUACAUUAAUGGCUGGAAUUCCAGAAAAAUAAGAAAAUAUUUGUAUUUUCUAAACCAUUAAAAGUUUAGUGGAACUCAUUAAUAGUCUGUAUCAUCUCUCUGUAUAUUUCAGAAGUACAUUUUAAGUGUAACAGCUAGGGGUAAACUUUCAUAACUGUAUGAUUUGAACACAAGUACAAGAAAUAUUCAAGGUUUUCUUUUCUUUUUUUUUUUUAGAUGAAGUCUCACUCUUAUCGCCGUAGCUAUAGUGCAAUGGCGCUGUCUCAGCUCACUGCAACCUCCGCCUCCUAGGUUAAAGCAAUUCUCCUGCCUCAGCCUCCGUAGUAGCUGGGAUUACAGGAUCCUGCCACCACACCCACUAAUUUUUGUAUUUUUGGUAGAGAAUGGGUUUCACCAUGUUGGACAGGCUGGUCAUGAACUCCUGACCUCAGUCGAUCCACCCGCCUUGGCCUCCCAAAGUGCUGGAUUACAGGUGUCCACCGCGCCUGGCCAAUAUUCAAGUUUACACAGGAAAAAGAAUACUUUCUCUGCAUAACCUUUACUUAUUUACUCAUAAGCCUCUAGUUCUCUCUGGAUUUGACUGUAAAUCUCAACACAUUUCCCAGAAACUAACAUCUUCUGGCUGACUUCUAUUAAAAAUUCAGACAAAGAAAAAAACUGAAUACAAUGGAGAGAGAUUAUAAUACUGCUAUUCUCCCAUUCUCUCUCUCUACAGCAUAUCACCUCCUCCAAAAUCAGUUCAUAUCUAACUCCUAGCACAUUUUUAGUUAAAAAUAUACAUGCACAAAAUAUAUGUGUAAAUACACAUGCUGAUAUCACACAUAUGUGUGUGUGUGUGUGUAUAUAUAUAUACACAAAAGCAGAUAUAUAUAUAUAUAUAUAUAUACACAAAAGCAGAUAUAUAUAUAUGCUUUCUU